UUUGAUCAUGGCUCAGAUUGAACGCUGGCGGCAGGCCUAACACAUGCAAGUCGAACGGUAACAGGAAACAGCUUGCUGUUUCGCUGACGAGUGGCGGACGGGUGAGUAAUGUCUGGGAAACUGCCUGGUGGAGGGGGAUAACUACUGGAAACGGUAGCUAAUACCGCAUAACGUCGCAAGACCAAAGAGGGGGACCUUCGGGCCUCUUG
Molecule: ribosomal RNA, 209 nt
Filed under: Escherichia coli
Lineage: Bacteria; Pseudomonadati; Pseudomonadota; Gammaproteobacteria; Enterobacterales; Enterobacteriaceae
Description: partial 16S ribosomal RNA
Rfam family: Bacterial small subunit ribosomal RNA
Source: RNAcentral